ACUCAAAGGAAUUGACGGGGACCCGCACAAGCGGUGGAGCGUGUGGUUUAAUUCGACACUAAGCGAAGAACCUUACCAGGGUUUGACAUCCCAGGAAUCCCCUCGAAAGAGGGGAGUGCCGCAAGGAGCCUGGUGACAGGUGCUGCAUGGCCGUCGUCAGCUCGUGUCGUGAGAUGUUGGGUUAAGUCCCGCAACGAGCGCAACCCCUGUCGUGUGUUGUAUUUUUCACGCGAGACUGCCUCGGUCAACGAGGAGGAAGGUGGGGUCGAAGUCAGGUCAGCAUGGCCCUUAUACCCUGGGCGACACACGCGCUACAAUGGCCGGUACAACGGGUCGCGAUGCCGUAAGGCGAAGCUAAUCCCAUCAAAGCCGGUCUCAGUUCGGAUUGGAGUCUGCAACUCGACUCCAUGAAGCCGGAAUCGCUAGUAAACGCGGAUCAGCCACGCUGCGUUGAAUACGUUCUCGGGUCUUGUACACACCGCCCGU
Molecule: ribosomal RNA, 486 nt
Filed under: uncultured bacterium
Lineage: Bacteria
Description: partial 16S ribosomal RNA
Rfam family: Bacterial small subunit ribosomal RNA
Source: RNAcentral